UACGUAGGGGGCAAGCGUUGUCCGGAAUCAUUGGGCGUAAAGCGGGCGUAGGCGGCCCUGUAAGUCCGUUGUGAAAGUCAAAGGCUCAACCUUUGAAAGCCGAUGGAUACUGCAGGGCUAGAGUCCGGAAGAGGCGAGUGGAAUUCCUGGUGUAGCGGUGGAAUGCGCAGAUAUCAGGAGGAACACCAAUAGCGAAGGCAGCUCGCUGGGACGGUACUGACGCUAAGGCGCGAAAGCGUGGGGAGCGAACAGG
RNAcentral lists this ribosomal RNA (253 nucleotides) under uncultured bacterium. RNAcentral describes it as "partial 16S ribosomal RNA". It matches the Rfam family "Bacterial small subunit ribosomal RNA", at positions 524 to 776 of the family's 1533-position model. The record is from RNAcentral.